CCUAUGUCCAAGAAAAUUAAGGAAUGCAGACACAAGGGUCGGGGUGGAGUCAAAGUUUAAUAAGCAAAAAAGAAAGCUUUCUGCAGCAGAGAGGGGAGUCCAAGUGGAUUGCCGGGUUACAGCUGAAUUUAAAAGCGUUUUAUAAGAAACUGCUCUCUUCCCUGUAACUGUUGGAAUAACUUUUCUUACCAGUAAAGCUGUCUGUGCAAUUCUUCUUCUCUUAUGCAGCUGUGGGUAUGUCUCUAGGCAAGCACAAAGCCCCACUUCUCUUGUUUGUAUAACUGUGGGUUUGUUUUAGGGGUGGGGCCGCUUUAUAGGGUUUGGGAAGAUAAUGGAAAAUUACAGUCAAAGGGGGUUGUUCUCUGGUGGGCAGGGGCGGGGGUCACAAGGUGCUCAGUGGGGGAGCUUCUGAGCCAGGAGAAGGAAAUUCACAGGGUUAAUCACUCAGUUAAGGUGGGGCAGGAACAAAUCACAAUGGUGGAAUAUCAUCAGUUAAGGCGUGGCAGGGCCUUUUCACUUCUUUUGUGAUUCUUCAGUUACUUCAGGCCAUCUGGGCGUAUACAUGCAAGUCACAGGGGAUGCGAUGGCUUGGCUUGGGCUCAGAGACCUGACAUUCCUGCCUUCUGAUAUUAAUAAGAAAAAUAAAACAAAAUAGUGUUGAAGUGUUGGGGUGGCAAAAAUUUUUGGGGGGUGGUAUGGAGAGAGAAUGGGCGAUGUUUCUCAGGGCUGCUUCAAGCGGGAUUAGGGGCAGCGUGGGAACCUAGAGUGGGAGAGAUUAAGCUGAAGGGAGGUCUUGUGGUAAGGGGUGAUAUUGUGGGGAUGUUAGAAGAGACAUUUCUUGUAUAGAAUGAUUGGUGAUGGCCUGGAUACGGUUUUGGAUGAAUUGAGAAACUAAAUGGAAGAUACAAGGUCCGAAUAAAAGAAGGAGAAAAAUGGGUAUUAAAGGACUAAGAAUUGGGAGGCCCUAGGACAUCCAAUUAGAGAGUGCCUAAGGGGUUCAGCAUAAUUACUUGCUUGGUUGGCAAGUUUUUGGGCUCUAUCCUUGAGUUUUUUUAUGUUGUCAUACACCAGGCCAGAUUGAUUUAGGUAAAAACAACACUCUUCAUUUAAGAAUAUGCAGAGUCCUCCUUUUUCAGCAGUGAGUAAGUCAAGGCCUCGGCGGUUUUGGAGGACAACUGCAGCUAAAGAGUCAACUUGGAGUACUGAUAAAGUUUGUGACAUGUCUGUGAUGCUAGCAGAGAAGUCAUUAGAGAGGCUACGGAAGGUCGAGACAGAAGUUGAAAUGCCUGCUAUUCCAGUACUGAGAGCAAUAGUGGAGGCAGAAAGUCCUAAACCGACCAUCAAGGGAAUUAGUGGAAUAACUCUUCUUUGUCAUGUCGGUGUCAUGAGGGGAACAGGGAGCUCUUCGGUCCUAUUUGCAAAUUGAAUUUUGGGGGAAAGGAAGACUAGUGUGCAUGUGCCUGUCCAAUUAGCAGGUAGACACAUGUAGGUAGAGGAACCACAGAGGAAGAAGAGACCUUGUGCAAGGCAAAACUGGAGAUGUAAAGUAAAAAGAUGAGAAGGAGUGCUGAAAGGGGUGUCUUGUACCUAGAGUCCUAGGGAUCCAGCUAGGGCGGCAGCUGUCAGAGGUUGUAAUGGGGACUGAUGGGGUAACUGCGUAGAGGGGGAGGUUCAAUUUUCAUGGUGUAUGAGAAAACAUUGAGUAUCUAUGAGCAACCUUUCACUGUUAUUUUCGGGGCUGGAUAUAAGUAAACAAGAAUAGGGCCUGGGAGGAGAGUCUGAUGAGCAAGGGGAAGGUAGCCAAGGAUGGAGUUCAAUACAGGGUAAGUGUCUUCCUAAGCAAUAAUUACUGCUAACAUUUUUAAGUUUAUCAGUAUUGAUAGAGGGCUUGUCUGUAAUAUGGAGCUGGAAGGCUCCAAUUGUUUCAGUGAUGUGUGUAAUUGGGCUUCGGAGAUGAAGAGUAAAGGAACAUCGAGAGGGUGAAAGAUUACCUAGGGGAAUUCCAGUGGGUCUUUGCUGAGAGAUACAUAAAGGAGCGGCCACAGGAAUAGUAGUUUGUGUUGUGAGAGGUCCGAAUAUGGGGGGAGUAGAGUUAAUAUAAGGAGAAAGGUUUUUUAAAUAAGUGCGAAGGAGGGCGGCAGCUUGCUGAUGUGAAAUGUCUGGGGAAGUCUUGCUGGACCUGUCUAGAGAGUAAAUGAGUUCUUCAGGAGGGUAAAGAUGAGGGCUGCUAAAGGAAGUUCAGAGGUGUAGGGAGACGGGAGAUAUUGCCCAGUCUGUCUGUAAGGCGGGGACAGCUGUGUAGGCACUGGAAGAAAGGGAAAUGCAAAGCCAGCAGUUGUUCACUAAGGAGGGACUAGAAGUGGCUAGGAGAGAAUGGGUAAGGUUGAUAGUGUGGUGGAGAUAGCUGGGGAGAGGUAGAGGGUGGCAUAAGAAUGGGAACGAGAAUAAGAGUGAGUAUAAAAGUAAAGAAUAGAACUUCAUCAGGGUGGAAGUAUUGGAGGGUGCCUUGCCAGCAAAGAUCAUCUACCCACUCUAAGAGGGAGUUAAGAGUGGCAGUUUGGGGUUAGCACCAAGAGAUAUCAGCUGUGAUGGCUUGAAGAAACAGUGUAAACCGGCGGUGUAAAGAAGAGUAGGGCAUUUAUAAGUAGUUGAGAAUGGAGAAUAGGAGUAUGACCAGACAGAAGAUAGUAGGGAUGACUAGUUUUUUUGGGCUCGGCCUAAGUGGUUGGGGUGACUUCGUAAAGCCCUGUUGCAAAAAGUAGGGUAAGGACGAACAGACCUAAUAGAAUGAAGGGAUGUAUUAGGCUCAUAAGGGUUAUUACUGCUCUUCAGAAAUAUGAGUGAGUUUAAGGGAAGUAGGGGAGAGUACUUGCGGCUUCCAGGAGGAAGAGGAGGGAUUAGGCUGGCUGUCCGAUGGACACAGCUUUAUUCUGGAAUGGUGAACCUAGUGGGGAGGAUCCUGCAGGCAGACGGCAGUCGGGGUACUAUAGAAGACGAGGUAGCAUCCGGUCCAUCGAGGUUGUAGAGUUUGAGGGGUCAGAUUCUUAACAAGAACUGAUCAUCCAGCUAGGAUGUCUCCAUAUGGCUGGGGAUCUGGAGUAGGCAAGAGAAGAUUAGCAGCCUGGUGAAUUUCCUGUCUAGCCUGCUGGAGGACUGGAAGAUAGUCACCUAGAGGGCUGGUGUCUGGGAUGAGGUUGGGGCCAAGCAAGAAAGUGUGUCCAUAUAAAAGUUCAAAUGGACCGUACCCUGUAGCAUCUCAAGGACAGGCUCUAAUUCUGAGAAGAGCAAGAGGUAAAAGUACUGUCCAAUCCUUUUUAAGUUGGAGGCUGAGCUUGGUGAGGUUUACCUUUAAAAGACCAUUAGUCCAUUCUACCUUUCCUGAAGAUUGAGGAUGGUAAGGGAUAUGAAGGUUCCACUGAAUACCAAGAGCCUGAGAAACUGCUUGGGUGAUUUGACUAGUAAAGGCUGGUCUGUCAUCAGACUGUAUAGAGGUGGGAAGCCUAAACUGAGGAAUUAUGUCUGACAGAGGGGAAGAAAUGACUGUGGUGGCCUUCUCAGACCCUGUAGGAAAGGCCUCUACUUAUCUAGUGAAAGUGUCUACUUAGACUAAGAGGUAUUUUAGUUAUCUGACUUGGGGCAUGUUGAGUGAAGCUAAUUUGCCAGUCCUGGGUGGGGGCAAAACCUUGAGCUUGAUGUGUAGGGAAGGGAGGGGGCCUGAAUAAUCCUUGAGGAGUAGUAGAAUAGCAGAUAGAAUAGCAGAUGGAACACUUGAGAAGUUAUUUCCUUGAGGAUAGAUUUCUACAAUGGAAAGGAAAUGAAAGGUUCAAAGAGGCGGGCUAGUGGCUUGUACUAUAGCAUAGCCUGCCUUUGCUGAUGUGUGGUGAUUAGGCCUGGUGGAACUGCCAUCAAUAAAUCAAGCGUGAUCAGGGUGAGAAACAGGGAAGAAGGAAAUGUGGGGAAAUAGGAUGAACAUCAGGUGGAUCAGAGAGAUGCAAUCAUGAGGGUCAGGUGUGGUAUCAGGAAUACUGUGGGAGGCUGGAUUGAAGUCCAGGCCAGGAACAAUGGUAAUUGUGGGACUUAACAAAGAGUGAGUACAGCUGAAGGAGCUGGGGAACAGAAAGUAUAUGCGUCAGGUAUGAGGAAGAAAAUAGAUUUUGGAAGUUAUGAGAAAUGUAGAGAGUGAGUUGAGCAUUGUUUGUGAUUUUUAGGGCCUCUAAAAUUAUUAAAGCAGCAGCAGCUGCUGCACACAGACAUGAGGGCUAGGCUAAAACAGUAAGGUCAAGUUGUUUCGACAGAAAGGCUACAGGGUGCGGUCCUGGCUCUUGUGUAAGAAUUCUGACGGCACUAACCAUGCCUAGGAAGGAAAGGAGUUGUUGUUUUGUAAGGGAUUGAGGUUUGGGAGAUUAAUUGGACAUGAUCAGCAGGGAGAGCAUGUGUGUUUUUAUGAGAAUUAUGCAGAGAUAGGUAACAGAUGGAGAAGAAAUUUGAGCUUUGGAGGGGGAUACCUGAUAUCCUUUGGAGAAUAAAUGCUGAAGAAGCAGAAGUGUGUCUUGUUGAGAAGAUUCAAAGGAGGGGCUACAAAGAAGAAGGUCAUCAAUAUAUUGAAUAAGGUGAGAAGCAGAGGGGUGGAAAGAAAGUAGAUCAUGAGAAAGAGCUUGGCUGAAGUAAAUGAGGGCUGUCCCUGAAACCUUGCGGCAGCACAGCCCAGAUGUUUGUUAUGAGGAUGGUUGCAGCUCUGUUCCUGGAGGAACAUGGGGAAAUAUCGGAAACUUCCCUGGGCCCAAGCAGAGGAACAGAGGACCCUGAGUGAACAACAGAGAAGAAAUGUGUUUCCUUCCUGUAUCUUCUGUGUAGCGAAGGGCAUCACCACUCAUCAGUUGACAAAGCCAGACAGAAGUGAAAGUACUUGUUGAAUGAGUUCUUGAUUCUUCUUUUACACACCUACUGAAUCACUGAGGUUUUGACAUAAUUUGGUGUCAGAAGUAGAAUUGAAGCUGGUUAGUUGGACAGAUGGACAACCCCUGAAAUUGAGUGAAUUGCCUGUGCUGAGCCCUUUUGAGCUCUCCACCUCCGUGGCUGACCUUUUCUACCCUGCUGAAUCUCCUCUCAGAUUCCUGGACUCCUUUUUGGUAUCUUCACCCUCAGCAAUCCUCCUGAAAGAUGCUCAUCCUGAUUGCAGCACUAUUCACAAUAGCAAAGACGUGGAACCAACCCAAAUUCCCAUCAAUGAUAGACUGGAUAAAGAAAAUGUGGGACAUAUACACCAUGGAAUACUAUGCAGCCAUAAAAAGGGUGGCCAAACGUCCAGGAUGAGAGUUCUGUGGAAACAGAAGACAAAAAUACAAAUAUGUCCAGGAAAAUGCUGCCAGCGGCACAAUAUCUACUGCAUUUCUCUUUCAGGGCUAAGGAAUUGGGUUACUUUGUGCCCCGCCUCUGCCCGCAGGGAAGACCAUUCCUGGAUUUACCCUUCGAGGGAGCAGUAGAAGCGGAUCUGGCAUGAAGUGGGGGACACAACUCCCCUUAUGCUCCCAGCACAUCUCCUGGGCUGAGGCCAUCUCAGAUUGGAAGACCAGCUUUCCAAAGCAAGUCUCCUCCACAUCAUGAAGGAGAAAAAGAGUAGCAGAUAAGAAAAAAACCAACUCGCUGAAACACUGAAACUCUCUCUGCUUGUGAGAUCAAGAAAAGCCGGCUGAAAUCAGUUGGAACCAAGGUGGCCAACUGGAGCUUUUGCAAAACGAGGUUGCUGACGUCAGAGCCUGAAUUUCCACUGCAGGUUUCAUUCUAACUCCCUUUGAAUUUGCACAUGGGACCCAUGAGGUAGCAUGGAGACAUAACUGCGCAUGCCCAAGACUUUUCAGCCCUCCCCUUUCCGUCCACCAAUCACCUUCUGAUCCCAGAAUCCACCCUCUGAACGUUUUCUAGUAAAAUACUGCCUUGAAGCCAGCCUGGGGAAACAGAUUUGAGCUUGACUCUUGUCUCCUUGUGAGUUGACUUUUGACAUAAAGCUUUUCUUUUUUUAAAACCCUGGUGUCAUAGUACUGGUUUCCAGCACAUUGGGCAGUGAGUCCCUUUUGCUGGAUAACAGUGCUGAUGGAGAUGAUGGGGAAGCCAGAGCCCCCAGGCUACACCUUGGUGCUCUGCUAACUGGACCAAGGUCUGACUCCAAAGUCAGAGGGCAAUUCGAGAUUCUUCUCUUCGUGCCACCCAUAGGAUAUCACAUUAAACUUUAGCCUAAUGCUGAGGGAAUGUGGGAAUUUGCCCAAUAGUAAUGAUGCCCAGUGGAAACUAGGUUUCUCCUGCGGAUUACCCUCUGCCCACACAUUCCCCACCCUGUGCCUUGCGCAUCCAGUGGCUACCAGUGUAUCCCACCUAAUCCAACAUCUUGCUGCAAUCCUGAAAGGGCUUCUAGACUGGCCUCCAUCACUAAACCAACAGGAAUCCUCCACUAUGAACCAGCAGGGUUCUGCGUUGUUGUUGCUAUGGUGACAGUUAUCCAAGAGUACAUCAAGAGAAAAAUAGCCACGUUUUAGCAGGUGCACAGUCCUAGAACAACAUACUGGUACUGGCUCAUAAAGUUUUCUAGUUUUCCCUAAGGCUUUUAAAAUUAGGAACCAAUAUGUAACCGCUCGGAACACAAUUUCCCUAGCAACCAGAGAAAUGCCAGUCCCUCCUGUUAGGGAGGUUAAAAAUAACAUUGCAUGUGCCACUGUAACCAACUGGAAUCUCCAAAUUCCCUUCUGUAACAGCCCCCUGGUCACAGCAGAUGUCCAACUCCCCAAAUCUCAUCUAUCAUCAACAUAGCCUUUCCAAGGCAUGAAUGCAAUUCACCUUCAUAGAAUUACUCAGGUCUCUUUCUGCCUACAGAAAAAAAGAGUCAUAGUCAGCUUGGUCUGCAUAAGCAGGGGCUACCCUCCUUUCCUGCCCCUUUCCCACAUAGCACCCAUGUUCUAGGCAUAAGCAUUUCCUCAAAAUUCUCUGACCAGACCAUAUGCCUGCCUGCCUUCUUUCAUUCUUUCUCUUCUCUUCCUUCCUUUUCUUUUUCUUCCUUCCUUCCUUCCUUCUUUCCUUUCUUCCUCCCUCCCUCUCUCCUUUUUCCCUUCUUUCCUUUCCUCCUUCUUUCCUCCCUCCCUCCCUUUUUCCUUCCUUCCUUUCCUUUCCUUCCUCCCUUUCUUCCUUUCAAUGUGAUUAGCAUACAAAAACAUAAAAAUAUCUUAAGUGAUCAGUUCAAAGAAUUUUGACAAUUGUGUAUGCAAGGCAAAAACACGGAACAUUUCUACCACUCUAGAAAGUUCUCUCAUGCACCUUUUCAGUCAGUCUACCACCCUUCAACCCCAAGGCAACCAUUUUCUGACAUCAAUUGCCACAGAUUAGUUUUGUCUGUUUAUAAACUUCAUAAAUGGGAUCAAACUGAAUGUAUUAUUUUGCUUAUUUCAUUGUGUGACUAUGCCACAUUGUAAAAAUCUAUUCUUCUGUUGAUGAACAUUUGGUCUGUUUCCAGUUUGGGAUUAUCUGUUUCCAGUUUGGGAUAAGGCUCUUACGAAUAUUUUUGUGCUAGCCUUUUUGUGGACACUUGUUUUUAUAUAUUUUGGGCAAAUAUCUAGGAGUGGAAUUGCUAGGUCACAAGGUAGUUGUAUGGUUAAAUUUACUAGAAACCAUCACACAGUUCUCCAAAGUGGUUAUGCCUUUUGACUUUUUCAUCAUCAUCUAUGAGAAUUCCAGUUGUUCCACAUCAUUACUAAAAUUUAGUAUUGUCUGUUUUUUUCUUUUAUUUUAGCCAUUCUAGUGUGUGAAUAGUAGAAUCUCAUUGAGGCUUUAAUUUGCAUUUUCCUGAUGACUAAUAAUGUGAGCAUAUUGUCACGUGUUUGUUGUUCAUUUGUACAUGUUCUUU
RNAcentral lists this long non-coding RNA (7888 nucleotides) under Homo sapiens (human). RNAcentral's name for it is "HSALNT0023652". The record is from RNAcentral. Lineage: Eukaryota; Metazoa; Chordata; Mammalia; Primates; Hominidae.